Molecule: long non-coding RNA, 289 nt
Filed under: Ictidomys tridecemlineatus (thirteen-lined ground squirrel)
Lineage: Eukaryota; Metazoa; Chordata; Mammalia; Rodentia; Sciuridae
Description: lncRNA (ENSSTOG00000034865.1)
Source: RNAcentral
UUUAAACAUAAUAUGUUGAUUUAUCUAUUUUAAAUUUAUUUUAUGCCCUCAGGUUGCAAAGGGGAAGGUUAUUUUUAGGACAUCACUAUCAUUUAUCUCGAAAACAUCACCAAGGCAAGGAAUCAUGCCUAUCUCAUGCUCUGUUAACGAAGCCCCACCCCCAAAAUGGCCUGCGCUUUUAUACGUCCACCCAAGGCAGAUCGAAUCGUUGGCUUCUCCAUUUUUCCGAAAACACUUCCGGUGCCCUUCCAAAUAAUUGCGAUUGUGUUGUCCUACUCCUGUACUUAGA